UUUUAUCAAGUGGUAGGAGAGCGUUCUAUUUGCGCCGAAGGUAUACCGGUAAGGAGUGCUGGAGCGAAUAGAAGUGAGCAUGCAGGCAUGAGUAGCGAUAAUUAAUGUGAGAAUCAUUAACGCCGUAAACCCAAGGUUUCCUACGCGAUGCUCGUCAUCGUAGGGUUAGUCGGGUCCUAAGUCGAGUCCGAAAGGGGUAGACGAUGGCAAAUUGGUUAAUAUUCCAAUACCAACAUUAGUGUGCGAUGGAAGGACGCUUAGGGCUAAGGGGGCUAGCGGAUGGAAGUGCUAGUCUAAGGUCGUAGGAGGUUAUACAGGCAAAUCCGUAUAACAAUACUCCGAGAACUGAAAGGCUUUUUGAAGUCUUCGGAUGGAUAGAAGAACCCCUGAUGCCGUCGAGCCAAGAAAAGUUUCUAAGUUUAGCUAAUGUUGCCCGUACCGUAAACCGACACAGGUGGGUGGGAUGAGUAUUCUAAGGCGCGUGGAAGAACUCUCUUUAAGGAACUCUGCAAAAUAGCACCGUAUCUUCGGUAUAAGGUGUGGUUCGCUUCGUAUUAGGAUUUACUCCGAAAGCGAAGAAACUUACAACAAAGAGUCCCUCCCGACUGUUUACCAAAAACACAGCACUCUGCUAACUCGUAAGAGGAUGUAUAGGGUGUGACGCCUGCCCGGUGCUCGAAGGUUAAUUGAUGGGGUUAGCAUUAGCGAAGCUCUUGAUCGAAGCCCGAGUAAACGGCGGCCGUAACUAUAACGGUCCUAAGGUAGCGAAAUUCCUUGUCGGUUAAAUACCGACCUGCAUGAAUGGCGUAACGAGAUGGGAGCUGUCUCAAAGAGGGAUCCAGUGAAAUUGUAGUGGAGGUGAAAAUUCCUCCUACCCGCGGCAAGACGGAAAGACCCCGUGGACCUUUACUACAGCUUGACACUGCUAUUUGGAUAAGAAUGUGCAGGAUAGGUGGGAGGCUUUGAGUAUAUGACGCCAGUUGUAUAUGAGCCAUUGUUGAGAUACCACUCUUUCUUAUUUGGGUAGCUAACCAGCUUGAGUUAUCCUCAAGUGGGACAAUGUCUGGUGGGUAGUUUGACUGGGGCGGUCGCCUCCCAAAUAAUAACGGAGGCUUACAAAGGUUGGCUCAGAACGGUUGGAAAUCGUUCGUAGAGUAUAAAGGUAUAAGCCAGCUUAACUGCAAGACAUACAAGUCAAGCAGAGACGAAAGUCGGUCUUAGUGAUCCGGUGGUUCUGUGUGGAAGGGCCAUCGCUCAAAGGAUAAAAGGUACCCCGGGGAUAACAGGCUGAUCUCCCCCAAGAGCUCACAUCGACGGGGAGGUUUGGCACCUCGAUGUCGGCUCAUCGCAUCCUGGGGCUGGAGCAGGUCCCAAGGGUAUGGCUGUUCGCCAUUUAAAGCGGUACGCGAGCUGGGUUCAGAACGUCGUGAGACAGUUCGGUCCCUAUCUGCCGUGGGCGUAAGAAGAUUGAAGAGAUUUGACCCUAGUACGAGAGGACCGGGUUGAACAAACCACUGGUGUAGCUGUUGUUCUGCCAAGAGCAUCGCAGCGUAGCUAAGUUUGGAAAGGAUAAACGCUGAAAGCAUCUAAGCGUGAAGCCAACUCUAAGAUGAAUCUUCUCUAAGCUCUCUAGAAGACUACUAGUUUGAUAGGCUGGGUGUGUAAUGGAUGAAAGUCCUUUAGCUGACCAGUACUAAUAGAGCGUUUGGCUUAUCUUUAAUAAAGCAU
Molecule: ribosomal RNA, 1728 nt
Filed under: Campylobacter coli
Lineage: Bacteria; Pseudomonadati; Campylobacterota; Epsilonproteobacteria; Campylobacterales; Campylobacteraceae
Description: partial 23S ribosomal RNA
Rfam family: Bacterial large subunit ribosomal RNA
Source: RNAcentral